RNAcentral lists this ribosomal RNA (253 nucleotides) under uncultured bacterium. Its description in RNAcentral is "partial 16S ribosomal RNA". It matches the Rfam family "Bacterial small subunit ribosomal RNA", at positions 524 to 776 of the family's 1533-position model. The record is from RNAcentral.
UACGAAGGGGGCUAGCGUUGCUCGGAAUCACUGGGCGUAAAGGGCGCGUAGGCGGAUAGUUUAGUCAGAGGUGAAAGCCCAGGGCUCAACCUUGGAACUGCCUUUGAUACUGGCUAUCUUGAGUUCGGGAGAGGUGAGUGGAAUGCCGAGUGUAGAGGUGAAAUUCGUAGAUAUUCGGCGGAACACCAGUGGCGAAGGCGACUCACUGGCCCGAUACUGACGCUGAGGUGCGAAAGCGUGGGGAGCAAACAGG